GGGGUGAAAGGCUAAUCAAACUUGGAGAUAGCUCGUACUCCCCGAAAUGCAUUUAGGUGCAGCCUUGUGAGUUACUAAUGUGAGGUAGAGCGACUGAUAAGAUGCGAGGGCUUCACCGCCUAUCAAGUCUUGAUAAACUCCGAAUGCGCAUUAGUUCUAUCACAGGAGUGAGGGCAUGGGUGCUAAGGUCCAUGUCCUAAAGGAGAAGAAUCCGGACCAUCAGCUAAGGUCCCGAAAUAGAUACUAAGUUGAACUAACGAAGUCAGAUUGCUAAGACAGCUAGGAUGUUGGCUUGGAAGCAGCCAUUCAUUUAAAGAGUGCGUAACAGCUCACUAGUCGAGGAGUUUGGCGUGGAUAAUAAUCGGGCAUUAAGCAAUUUACCGAAGCUAUGGGAUCAGUAAUGAUCGGUAGGGGAGCAUUCCACUCUGCGUCGAAGGUGAAGCGUGAGCUUUGCUGGAGCGUGUGGAAAAGCAAAUGUAGGUAUAAGUAACGAUAAAGGGGGUGGGAAACCCCCUCGCCGAAAGACUAAGGUUUCCUGAUCAACGCUAAUCGGAUCAGGGUUAGUCGGGUCCUAAGGCUCAGCCGAACGGUGAGGCCGAUGGCAGAACAGGUUAAUAUUCCUGUACUACCUUAAGGAGUGACGUGGAGACGGAGUCGUGACAGCGCCGCGGACUGACGGAAUAGUCCGUUGAAGGGUGUAGAUGUUGAUUGCGGCAGGCAAAUCCACCGCAAGAGUCGAACCUGAUAGUAUGGAGCGUUCUUCUGAACAAUCCAAUAGUGCGUGUAAACAUACUCCCAAGAAAAUCCGCUAAACUUAAUCUUUAAGGUACCCGUACCGUAAACGGACACACGUAGUCGGGUUGAAUAUACUAAGGCGCUUGAGUGAUUCACGGUUAAGGAACUAGGCAAACUGACCCUGUAACUUCGGGAUAAAGGGUCCUCGCUUAACGGCGAGGCGCAGAGAAUAGGUCCAGGCAACUGUUUAACAAAAACACAGGGCUGUGCAAAAUUGAAAGAUGAAGUAUACAGCCUGACACCUGCCCGGUGCUGGAAGGUUAAGAGGAGAUGUCAUCGCAAGAGAAGCAUUGAAUUGAAGCCCCAGUAAACGGCGGCCGUAACUAUAACGGUCCUAAGGUAGCGAAAUUCCUUGUCGGGUAAGUUCCGACCCGCACGAAUGGUGUAAUGAUCUGGGCACUGUCUCAACUACCCGCCCGGCGAAAUUGUAGUACCGGUGAAGAUGCCGGUUACCCGUGACAAGACGGAAAGACCCCAUGGAGCUUUACUGUAGCUUAAUAUUGGGUUUCGAUAAUUUAUGUACAGGAUAGGUGGGAGGCUAGGAAACUCUGGCGCCAGCCGGAGUGGAGCCACCCUUGGGAUACCACCCUUAAGUUAUUGGAAUUCUAACCUGCGGCCGUGAAUCCGGCCGGGGGACAUUGUUAGGUGGACAGUUUGACUGGGGCGGUCGCCUCCAAAAAGGUAACGGAGGCGCUCAAAGGUUUGCUCAGCACGGAUGGAAACCGUGCUUUUGAGUGUAAACGCAUAAGCAAGCCUAACUGUUCAGAACGUCGUGAGACAGUUCGGUCCCUAUCUGUCAUGGGCGUAGGAUAUUUGAGGAGAGCUGUUCCUAGUACGAGAGGACCGGGAUGGACGCACCGCUGGCGCACCAGUUGUCAUGCCAAUGGCACAGCUGGGCAACUAUGUGCGGACCGGAUAAACGCUGAAAGCAUCUAAGCGUGAAGCCGACUCCAAGAUAAGAUAUCCCAUAGUGUUAAACUAGUAAGACCCCUUGUAGACUACGAGGUAGAUAGGCUGCGUGUGUAAGCACGGUAACGUGUUCAGCUUGGCAGUACUAAUAGGUCGAGGGCUUGACCAUAAUUUCUUUGGUUUGGCUCUGUAAUUUCCUUUCUGUUUUUCUUUAU
This 1919-nucleotide ribosomal RNA is filed under the name human gut metagenome. RNAcentral describes it as "bacterial LSU rRNA". It matches the Rfam family "Bacterial large subunit ribosomal RNA", at positions 818 to 2925 of the family's 2925-position model. The record is from RNAcentral.